This is a long non-coding RNA of Cervus elaphus (red deer), 404 nucleotides long. RefSeq lists it as uncharacterized. NCBI's taxonomy places the organism in Eukaryota, Metazoa, Chordata, Mammalia, Artiodactyla, Cervidae. The record is from RefSeq and is a predicted model, not a curated record. The transcript is spliced from 3 exons.
GCCCUGCAGCAAUUUAUUGGGGAACCUUCAGACAUUUGUUUCAUCCAGAAUUAAACAGAAGCAAAGACAGGGAUCUGUGGUCACUGCACAGAUACAGAGGCUGGCCAAGAGAUGACUUGCUCAAGAUCAUACAGCCAGAGGUUAUUUUUCAGAGCAUGUUGAUCCCUCUCUGACCCUCACAAGAGUUCUAUGAGGUGAACAGGACAGGUAUAUCCUUUACCCCCUGAGCCACCAGGGAAGCCGUAGUGCGACAUACUCAUCUUUGCGUCCUCAGAGCCCGCGUGGCACAGUCUACGUGCUCAAUCAAUCAAUCCACAGUGAGGCUCCAAGUCCCCAUGGUGCAUCUCCCCUCAUCCCUCCAGGGCUGGCGCUGGGGCCGGAGCCGGGGCAGGGGUGGGGGCCCC